CUGCGGCAGCGACACUAUGUGUUGUUGGGUAGGGGAGCGUUCUGUAAGCCUGUGAAGGUGGCCUGUGAGGGUUGCUGGAGGUAUCAGAAGUGCGAAUGCUGACAUAAGUAACGAUAAAGCGGGUGAAAAGCCCGCUCGCCGGAAGACCAAGGGUUCCUGUCCAACGUUAAUCGGGGCAGGGUGAGUCGACCCCUAAGGCGAGGCCGAAAGGCGUAGUCGAUGGGAAACGGGUUAAUAUUCCCGUACUUGGUGUUACUGCGAAGGGGGGACGGAGAAGGCUAUGUUGGCCGGGCGACGGUUGUCCCGGUUUAAGCGUGUAGGCUGGUUUUCCAGGCAAAUCCGGAAAAUCAAGGCUGAGGCGUGACGACGAGGCACUACGGUGCUGAAGCAACAAAUGCCCUGCUUCCAGGAAAAGCCUCUAAGCAUCAGGUAACAUCAAAUCGUACCCCAAACCGACACAGGUGGUCAGGUAGAGAAUACCAAGGCGCUUGAGAGAACUCGGGUGAAGGAACUAGGCAAAAUGGUGCCGUAACUUCGGGAGAAGGCACGCUGACACGUAGGUGAAGUGAUUUACUCAUGGAGCUGAAGUCAGUCGAAGAUACCAGCUGGCUGCAACUGUUUAUUAAAAACACAGCACUGUGCAAACACGAAAGUGGACGUAUACGGUGUGACGCCUGCCCGGUGCCGGAAGGUUAAUUGAUGGGGUCAGCGCAAGCGAAGCUCCUGAUCGAAGCCCCGGUAAACGGCGGCCGUAACUAUAACGGUCCUAAGGUAGCGAAAUUCCUUGUCGGGUAAGUUCCGACCUGCACGAAUGGCGUAAUGAUGGCCAGGCUGUCUCCACCCGAGACUCAGUGAAAUUGAACUCGCUGUGAAGAUGCAGUGUACCCGCGGCAAGACGGAAAGACCCCGUGAACCUUUACUAUAGCUUGACACUGAACAUUGAGCCUUGAUGUGUAGGAUAGGUGGGAGGCUUUGAAGUGUGGACGCCAGUCUGCAUGGAGCCGACCUUGAAAUACCACCCUUUAAUGUUUGAUGUUCUAACGUGGACCCGUGAUCCGGGUUGCGGACAGUGUCUGGUGGGUAGUUUGACUGGGGCGGUCUCCUCCUAAAGAGUAACGGAGGAGCACGAAGGUUGGCUAAUCCUGGUCGGACAUCAGGAGGUUAGUGCAAUGGCAUAAGCCAGCUUGACUGCGAGCGUGACGGCGCGAGCAGGUGCGAAAGCAGGUCAUAGUGAUCCGGUGGUUCUGAAUGGAAGGGCCAUCGCUCAACGGAUAAAAGGUACUCCGGGGAUAACAGGCUGAUACCGCCCAAGAGUUCAUAUCGACGGCGGUGUUUGGCACCUCGAUGUCGGCUCAUCACAUCCUGGGGCUGAAGUAGGUCCCAAGGGUAUGGCUGUUCGCCAUUUAAAGUGGUACGCGAGCUGGGUUUAGAACGUCGUGAGACAGUUCGGUCCCUAUCUGCCGUGGGCGCUGGAGAACUGAGGGGGGCUGCUCCUAGUACGAGAGGACCGGAGUGGACGCAUCACUGGUGUUCGGGUUGUCAUGCCAAUGGCACUGCCCGGUAGCUAAAUGCGGAAGAGAUAAGUGCUGAAAGCAUCUAAGCACGAAACUUGCCCCGAGAUGAGUUCUCCCUGAGACUUAAAGUCUCCUGAAGGAACGUUGAAGACGACGACGUUGAUAGGCCGGGUGUGUAAGCGCAGCGAUGCGUUGAGCUAACCGGUACUAAUGAACCGUGAGGCUUAACCUUACA
Molecule: ribosomal RNA, 1749 nt
Filed under: Salmonella enterica subsp. enterica serovar Give
Lineage: Bacteria; Pseudomonadati; Pseudomonadota; Gammaproteobacteria; Enterobacterales; Enterobacteriaceae
Description: partial 23S ribosomal RNA
Rfam family: Bacterial large subunit ribosomal RNA
Source: RNAcentral